ACAUGGGCUGGGCCAGAUUCCAACUUAAAAGUAAUGAAAAAACUGCCCCAUCACCCAACGCACUCACCACCUAAUAAUAAUAAUCAUUACAACAACACGUUACACUUACAACAACAUCCUUUACAUACAAAAAGGGAAAUAGUUAAAACAAGAUAAUGAUCGAAUUUCAAAUUAAAAAUAAAAACCCACAAAGUUGGUUUGGUUUAAUGGUUUUGGCAUCAACUAUCACAAACCGUUGGAUCAUAUCAACUUGACUUGAAAGGAAUGGCUCUGAUAACAACUGUGUGGUAAAGUGCUGCAAGUGCUGCACCAAUGAAUGGUCCAACCCAGAAAAUCCACUGCACAUAAAAAAAAGUAAACAAGAUUAAACAUAAAUUUCAAGAUUAACUAAUUAAUUAAAUUAAAUUAAAUUAAAUUAACACAUACUUGAUCAUCCCAACCAAGAUCUUUGUUGAAGAUAAUUGCAGCACCAAGACUCCUAGCAGGGUUGAUACCAGUUCCAGUAAUUGGAAUAGUAGCCAAGUGAACCAAAAACACAGCGAACCCAAUUGGCAAAGGUGCCAAAAUCUGUUAAUUCAUUUCAUCAACACACCAUUAAGAAACAUUAAACUAAAAUUAACACAUGUAAUUAAUUCAAUGAGACACAGGUACAAGGCAAAGCACAUACAGGAACGUGAGAGUCUCUGGCACUACGUUUGGCAUCAGUGGCUGAGAAAACGGUGUAGACAAGAACAAAGGUACCGAUAAUCUCAGCACCGAGUCCAUCUCCUUUUGUGUAACCAGGAGCAACAAAGUUAGCACCACCGUGAACUUUUCCGUAGAAGGCUUUUCCUUCGAAACCCUUAACCACACCAGCACCGCAGAUAGCACCAAGAACCUGCAUCACGAUGUAGAACACUGCUCUUGUUAGAGACAGCUUCCUCGCCAAGAACAAACCGAAUGUCACUGCUGGGUUUAUGUGACCCCCUGCAUCCACAACAUCACAAAUUAAUACCAUAAAAAACAUAACAACUAUGUAAGAUCCAGUACUACAGGACAAAAUCAGGAAAAACAAACUGAAGAGAGUGUAUACCAGAGAUUCCGGCAGUGCAGUAAACGAGGGCGAAGAUCAUGCCACCAAAAGACCAAGCAAUCCCUUGAAUACCAACAGUUUUACACUUGGAAUCAGAUUUGUUGACACCCAUGAUAGUCAAGAUGGUGAUGUAGAGAAACAGAAAAGUUGCAACGAACUCGGCUAUUCCAGCUCUCCAGAAAGACCAUGAAGUGAGUUCAGAAGGCUCAAACAACGGUGCAGGAGGUGGUUCUUUGUAGUCCUUACCGUCGUCAUGGCUCUGAGCUGCAAUACCGAUGGGUUGUCUCUCUGGGAAUUUGUUGGCUCCCAGUGAAACAUCUUGUUCCUUUGCUUCCAUUUCUCACUCUCUUGUUGAUGAAUGAAUAAUUGCUAUGAAUGAAUUGGAAGUGGUUGUUGUUGUGGUUGUGAUAGGGUUAUUAAGAUGUGAUUUAUAAACAGAGUGAAUUAUAAUGAAGGACAAAAAAGAAGUGGGUCAUGGGUGGUGGGUGGUGGGUCCAUUUCAUAUGUAAAAAAUUUGAAUAUUAUAGAAUUUGAUUUUCUUAUCUUUUUUGCCGUCCAAUCAUAUUCAUGACAGCAACAUAGAGUGGUAUAUCCAAGCUGGAGUGGUUUCUAACCAUGCAAUAAUUGGGCCCCACCAUGUUCUAUGCAGCACGAGAAAAAUCAAAAUAAUUGAAAGUGGAAAAUACGGGGUGAAGGUGAAGUAUUGAAAGAGGAGUAAAAAUUCAAAAUAAUCGAGUGAGUUCUGUCGACAUGGACAUCAUGUCAUGGUUGGUCCCAUUUCAGCAGCGAGACUGAGGAGUGGGAAACUCCAUUACCCUCUGGGCGGUCAUAAUUGUCGUCAGAAUAAUAUAAUGUACCGAAAGUAUCACGUUUUAUUACUCGAGAGUACUAUGUGUUCUGUUCAAGUAGAACCAAGCCGCAACGACUCUUAUGCCAUCAAUGCUGUGUCAAUCUCACUAUUAAAAUUUUGGGAAGUAUUAAUGCAUCAUUAAAAUAUCAACUAAAUUAUCUAAGUUUAGUUAAUGUCUCCAAUAUUUAAAACUACUAUCAAUUUUUAUAACUAAUCUAUAACUAUAUACAAUUUUAAUAACGUCUCCAAUAUUAUUAAAAUUAAUUUUCUAAUCAGAUUCACUUUUUUUUUCAAUUUUAAUUACUAAUAUAUAUAUAUAUAUAUAUAUAUAAAUAUAUAUAAUAUAUAUAUAUAUAUAUAAUAAUAAUAUAUAUAUAUAAUAAUAUAUAAAUAAAAUAUAAAUAAUUAUUGAAAUUAAUUGUUAUAGUUGAUAUUUAUAAAUAGAGUUAAAUAUGUUUUAGGUCCUCUUAAUAGCUCAUAUGUUAUUUUUAGUUUUAAAAAAAAAAAUCAUUAAUGAAUGAUCCUCUUAAAAUUCUUGAUUCACAUUUUUGGUUCCUCUUGCAAGUUAUUGAUGGAAUUUUCAACUUAACGACCGAAUUAUCGACGUUUUUAGCGAUUGAAUUAGCGACAGUUUUAGGCAGAGGGACCAAAAGUGGAUGAAAAUUUUUAUGAUGAGCAUUCUUUGAAAUAAAUUUUUUGAGGGACUAAAAGUAAAAUACGAGAUAUUUAGGAGGACCACAAACAUAUUUAACUCUUAUAAAUAUAGUGUUAAGAAUAUUUGUAUAUAGAAUAGUCUCACAUCAACUAUAUCAUGUAAUUAGUUGUAAUCUCUCUAUAUAUAUAAUAUAGGUUUUGUAUUGUUUUUCAAAACACAAUUUAUUCAAAUGUAUCUUAGUCUUUUGUACUUCAACAUGGUAUCUAGAGCCUACUCUGAGACAAUAUUUCACCGUGCUUUAUUUGGUUGACGCAUUGUCUUCCGGUGAGAAAUUGUUGGAAAAUUGUGUCAUAUCUCCAGGUUUUUCUUCCAUACACUACCGUGACUCAUUCCGACAUCAGUUUCCAAAAAUCUCCGGUCAUGAUCGUAUUGUCACCGUUGUUUGUCGCUGCAGCUACAGUUCUCGGUGACCUUUUGGAAAACUAACCUUAUCGGCAGAAAUGCCUCUUCCGAUCCGGUUGUUCCCCACUAUUUUAGUGGCAUAAACCUCCAUAUGCGCCCAUGCAUGCCACCUUCAUCCCCGCGUGUGGGUCUCACGUGAUAUUUUCUCUCUAUUCAUAUACGCAUGGCUACUUCUUAGAACUUUACGCCAAACUACGAUGUUCCUUAAGUGGUAGCAGAAUUAUCAAAACUCAUAUUCUACUGCUUCGGUAGCACACACUAGUAACUCAUUUGUUUGCCUAUCUCAAUCAUCUUUUCUUAGACCUUGUGUCCUUGAUUCUGGUGUGUUUGAUCAUGUUACCGGUAAUACAAAUAUUUUAUCUUCCUUCUCUACCUCUGAUUUCUUACCUACUAUAACUUUUGCCAAUAAUUCUCAAACUCAAUUUGAACGGAUUGGUACUGUUAAAAGACUACCUUCUCUCUCGGUUACUUUUUUUCUUUAUGUACCUAAUUGCCCAUUUAAUCUACUUUUAAUCAGUAGCUUAACUCGUUCUCUUGAUUGUAGUUUCACAUUCACUAACAAUAAUGUUACCCUACAAGAUUGGAGUUCGGGACUAACGAUUAGCGUCAGAUGUGAGUCUCAAGGCCUUUAUUACCUCUCUGUGUCAUCUCAGACAUGCUCAACCAAAGAUUCUUCACUCAUUAUCCAUGCUCAGUUAGGCCAUCUCAGUCUUUCCAAACUACAUAAGUUGGUGUCAAAUUUAUCGAAGGUAUCUAAUUUACAUUGUGACUCGUGUUAGUUAGGGAAACACAUUCGUAGUCAAUUUUCAAAUUGAGACAAUAAAUGAGUUUUGUCCCCUUUUUCUUAAGUUCACACUGAUGUUUAGGGACCCUCGCAUAUUGUAUCUACUCUUGAGUCUAGGUAUUUUAUCACCUUUAUUGAUCAUUUUCACGUUGCACGUGGUUAUUUUUAAUGAAGAAUAUAUCUGAACUAUUUUCUAUUUUUGAACAAUUUUAUCGAGAAAUAAGAACUCAAUUCGGUGUGUUUAUCCGUACUUUAAGAAGUGACAAUGCCAAUGUGCUUUUCUUGGUUAUCAUUGAUCCAAAAAAGGUUAUUGUUGUUAUUCAUAUACUUUACAACGAUACUUCAUAUCAGACGAUGUUACCUUCUUCGAGUAUGUUCCAUAUUUUGAGUUUAGCCACGUAACUCCGAAACCCCUUCAUGAAAGUACUCUUACACCUUUUUUGGCAGUUAUUAAUGUUUUGUCUACCAUUUCUCGACCCCCUUACACAUACACACACUUCUCGACCACUUCAAACAUAUCAAAGUCAUCACCCAAUGUUUGUCGUUCCUGUCCCUGAGGUCAUACCUAUCCAUAAGGUCAUAUGUGUCCUUGAGGUCAUUGCAAACUCUCCUCCGACACCCCUGACAUCACCGGAUCUGAUCUUGUAACCUGAGUUCGAUCUUCCAAUUCCCCUUCGAAGAGGUGUAUGUCAAACAUGAAAUCCUUAUCCAUAUUAUAUUGAUUUAUGUUAUCGUCGUCUUUCCCUUUUGCAUUAUACUUACUUGUCUUCUUUGUCUUCUGUUUCUAUUCCUAAAACUCCAAGUGAAGCGUUAUCUCACCCUAAGUGGAGGCAAGCAGUGAUUGAUAAGAUGUGUGCUCUUCAAAGUAGUGGUAUCUGGGAAUUGGUUCUUCUUCCCCCUAGGAAAUCUUUGGUAGGUUGUCACUAGCUUUAUACAAUGAAGGUUGGUUCAGAUGGUAAGAUUGAUCGAUUAAAAGCUUGCUUAGUAGCCAAUGGAUACGCUCAGAUUUUUGGGUUGGAUAUAGGGGUACUUUCUCGCCUGUGGCCGAGAUGGCAUCAAUUAUACUUCUUCUCGCCAUUGCAGCCAUUCAACAUUGGCCUUUUCACCAACUUGACAUCAAAAUUUUAUUUUUACAUGGUGAUCUUUAAGAGGAAGUAUAUAUGGAGCAAACACAUGGGUUUUUUGCUCAGGGGGAGUCAUCGAGUACGGUUUGUAGGCUACACGGGUCUCUUUAUGGUAUUAAUCAAUCUCCUAGAGCUUGGUUUGGCAGAUUCAACACUGUAGUAUAACAAUUGGGUAUGGUCCAUAGUGAAGUUGGACAUUCUGUGUUUUAUCGACACUCAACCCAAGGGUGUAUUUAUCUUAUUGUGUAUGUAGAUGAUAUUGUUAUAACUGGUAGUUAUCAUCAGGGAAUACUUCUGUUGAAACAAUAUCUCUCUAAUCAAUUUCAAACAAAAGACCUAGGUAAACUCCAUUAUUUUUGGGUAUUGAGGUAGCUCAAUAAAGAUGGUUUAGUGAUUUCUUAGCGGAAAUAUGCUAUGGAUAUUUUGGAAGAAACAUUUUUGUUGAGCGCUAAACCAAUUGAUACUCAUAUGGAUCCAAGUAUUAAACUCAUAUCCAAUCAGGGGGAGCCUCUACCUGACUCAAGAAGGUAUAGGAGGUUGGUUGGAAAAUUGAAUUAUCUCACAGUCACUCGUCCGAACAUUUCUUUUGAAGUUAGUGGUAAGCCAGUUCUUAAAUUCUCCUUGCCAAGAACACAUGGAUGUUGUUGUCCGAAGUCUGAGAUAAAUCAAAUUUGCUCCAGGAAAAGGCCUCGUGUAUCAUGAUAAAGGACAUACUCAGAUAGUUGGAUACUCCGAUGCUGAUUGGGCAGGGUCACCCAUUGAUAGACGGUCCACCUCUGGGUAUUGUGUACUUGUUGAAGGAAACCUUAUAUCUUGGAAAAGUAAGAAACAAAAUAUAGUUGCAAGAUCAAACGUCGAGGAAGAGAUUAGGGUCAUGGCAAUGGCAACAUAUGAACUCAUUUGGUUAAAAUAGUUGCUCAAAGAACUUCAAAUUGAAGAAGAAAGACCAAUGACACUUGUUUGUGAUAAUCAAGUUGCAUUACACAUUGCUUCAAAUCCAAUCUCCCAUGAGAGGACCAAACAUAUUGGGAUAUAUUGUCAUUUUGUCAGAGAGAAGAUUGAAUCAGGCGACAUCGUCACAAGCUUUGUCAACUCUAAUGAUCAAUUGGCAGAUGUGUUUACAAAAUCCUUGUGAAGUCCCAAAACUAAUUAUAUAGGUGACAAACUUGGUGCAUUUGACUUAUAUGCUGAAGCUUGAGGCAGAGUGUUGACAUUUAUAAAUAUAGUGUUAAAAAUAUUUGUAUACAAAAUAGUCUCACAUCGACUAUAUUAUGUAAUUAAUUGUAAUCUCUAUAUAUAUAAUAUAGUCUCUAUAGUACUUUUUAAAACACACAGUUAACUCAAAUAUCUAAUAUAGUCUCUUGUACUUCAAUAGUUAUAAUCAAAUUUCAUUUUUUUUAAAAACUGUUAUAAAUUAAUUAUUAAUCAAUUAUAUUCAUAACCGGUUCUAUAAUUAGUUUUAAUUUAAAAUAAAAAUAUAUUUUUUUUAAUUUUUAAAAUUUUAUUAUUAUUGUUUUCAAAAACAAAAAAUCCUUUUAAUUAAAAAAUAUUUUUUUCGGAUUAAAAAAAAUAUUUGUUUUUUAUGUUUUUUAAAAAAUAACUUUUUUUGUUUAUUUUUUCUUAAGAAAAUCAUGUUUUUUGUUUGUUUAGUUUCAGAAAGAUAUUUCCAAAAAAAUAUAUAUAAUUUUUUUUAUCUUCAAAUUUUUUAUUAUUUUCAAAAAAAAAAUCUAAAAAAGUUUUUAUAAGGAUAUUUUUUUGUGAUUUUUAAAAAAUAGAGUAAUUUGAUUUUUAUUUUGGAUAUAGAUGUCGAAAAUAUGAGUUUGGAUAAAAUCAUAUUAAUAACAUAUCUAAAAUACGAAUUUCAUUAAAAUCAAAUUAAUAAUUAAUUGGUUUUUAAUUAAAAAAAAAUAGAUAUGGAUAUGAAUAAUUCAAAUAAACGAUUAAUUUGAUCAACCCUAAUUUUAGUAAUUAUAUAAAGAUUUUUAACACCCACAAUCCAUACCUUUCAAUUGAGAUGACAUUGUCACAUUGUUUUUACAAACCAAAACACAAAUUAAAACAAAUUUCUCUCUCAUAAGUCAGACUUCAUUGCAAGGAGGAAAAAAAUAUUUUACUCUCAGUGCAAAAUGUGUGCACGUCUCUAUUGUUCUAAUGUUUUUUUUUUCAAAAUCUUUGUUGUUUCAAAAAAACUCAUUUCUAGUUUAACAUCUUUGUUCUUCUAAUGUGUGUGUUUUAAAGUUUUUGUUGUUUCACAUUUUUUCAUGAAUUGUUUAAUAUAUGUUUAGUUCUAAUUUGUUUGUUUCAAUAUCAAAGUUAUUUAACAGUUUUUUCUCUUAGUGCAGAAUGUAUGCACAUCUAUGUUGUUCUAAUGUGUUUGUUUCGAAAUCUUUGUUGCUUAAAAAAAAUCAUUUAUGAUUUAUCAUUUUGUUCUUUUAAUAUGUGUGUUUUAAAAUAUCUGUUGCUUCACAUUUUUUUCAUGAAUAGUUUAAUAUAUAUGUUGUUCUAAUUUAUUUGUUUCAAUAUCAUAGUUGUUUAACAAUUUUUUUUCUGAGUGUAAAAUGUAUAUGCACACUAUGUUCUUCUAAUGUGUGUUUCAAAAUCUUUUUUGCUUCACAUUUUUCAUGAAUAGUUUAACAUCUGUGUUAUUCUAAUUUGUUUGUUUCAAUAUCAUAGUUGUUUAACAGUUUAAUCUCAUGUUUAAGGUUUAAGAUUUUAACCUUUGCGAUAGAACCAAUCCUUCCACUAUAAAUUUUCAAUCGAAAGUUCUUAAAAAUGUUUGUCAUAAUUCAAAACAGUUUUCGUUAUAAUGGAUGUUUCAUUAUUACUAAAAUAUGUGUUUUUGAUAUCAUUUGUGUGCCUUAACAACUUUUAAUAUAGGUUUUUUUUUCUUCGGAAGUAAGAUGUGUGCAGAGUUUUUUUUUCCGAUUGAUAAUUUUUUUGGAUGAUAGUGAUGUAUUUUUCUUAUAUAACAUGUGUUACUUAACAACUUCUAAUAUAGAUUUUUUUAUAUUAAAUGUAUGCUAAUAAAUUUUAUGUUAUUAGCUUUAUGAUUAAUGGUUCAUUUAGAGUAAGAUGUGUGAACAUGUGUGCUCCUGAUAUAAUAUUUUUGAUAUAAAUUAUUUUUUCAAAUUUUUUUUAAUAUCAUGCUUUCUGAUCAAGAUGAAAUCAAAUAUUAUUUAUGUUGCAUGCUUCUCUUGGGUAUCGGAAUAACAUGAAAUAAUAAUAACACAGCUAAAAUUUGAGUGAAAAGUAUAGGAAUGAGAAGAAACACAAUUAAUUCUAACUCUUGGAUGAUUAUAAACUACAAUAUAAUGUCUCUAUUUAUAAGAGUCUUAUGUACUAUAAUAAAUGAAUACAUAUUUAGUGAAUUUUACGUAAUCUUCUCUUCAUCAUAGAAACCAAUGAUUUCUGUUGCAUUGACUUUUUCCUUUCUACAAAACAUAGAUGACUUUAUGUCCUCAAAAUCUCCCACUUAAAGUCAUUUUGUUUGCUUUCAAAAUUUCUCUCUCUUGCUAAUUCCAUGUUGCUACGUUUUAGAUAGGCCAUAAGAAGACUUGCACCAAUAAAACUUGUCAGUGUUGAUCGGCUUUGCCAUAGCAUCAGCUAGGUUGUCUUUAGUGUGAAUCUUUUGCGUGUCCACACUCCCUUCCUCUACUACUUCAUGAACAAAAUGGUAUUGAACUCAUAUGUGCUUUGUCUUGGAAUGAAAAGUUGGAUUUCUUGCAAUGUGCAAGACACUUUGACUGUCACAAUACACAAUAAUUUUUGGUUAUUUAUGUUUGAGCUCUUCCAAUAACCUUUGCAUCCAUAUAGCUUCCUUGCAUGCUUUGGUAGCUGCAAUAUAUUCAGCUUCUGUAGUAGAUAGAGCUACAAUAGUCUGUAAUUUGGAUAACCGGCUUACAACUCCUCCCGCAAUUGUAAACACAUAGCCAGUAGUAGAUUUUAUUUUGUCAAGAUCACCUGCAUAAUUUGAAUCAACAUAUCCUUUGGCACCAAACUCCAAUCCUCCAAAACAUAAUGCAACAUUCGGGGUUCCUUUUAUAUAUCUCUGGAUUUUUUUAACAGCAUCCCAAUGCUUUUUACUAGGAUCCGCCAUAAAUCGACUGACCGCUCCCACUUCUUGUGCAAUGUCUGGCUUUGUACAUAUCAUGGCAUAUAUAAGGCUUCCCACCGUUGAUGCAUAGGGUACUCGAGACAUUUCCAUCCUCUCUGCUUCAUUGCUAGGAUUUAUACUUGAGGAUAAUUUAUAAUUGAUAGGGAGUGGGGUAAAUAUUGGCUUACAGUCUUGCAUGUUGAAGCCCCGUAAAACUUUUCGUAGAUAAUUUCUUUGAGAAAGCCAAAUCUUUCUAUCUUUUCUAUCUCGGUGAAUUUGCAUCCCUAAAAUCUUGUUUGUUGCCCCCAAGUCUUUCAUAUCAAACUCCCUAGCCAAGUAUGCCUUAAAUUCUUGGACUUGAUAUUUAUUGGGGCCAACAACCAACAUGUCAUCCACAUACAACAACAAAAAUGGUGAAAACAUUUUCCUCAAACCUCUUGUAAUAUGUACAAUAAUCUGAGCUCAACAUGUUAUAUCCAAGGCUAAUAAUGAAGGAAUCAAAUCUCUUGUACCAAUACCUUGGCGCAUGCUUUAUACCGUAUAGAGAUUUGGUCAACCUGCAAACCAAGUUUUAUUUUCCUUUUUCUUCAAAACCUUCUAGUUGGAGCAUAUAUAUUUCUUUUUCAAGUUCUCUAUGAAGAAAAGCAGUCUUUACAUCCAAUUGUUCAAGAUGUAAAUCAUAAGUAACACACAUAACUAACACUACUCUAAUAAUGGUAAGUCUAACCACCAGAGAAAAUAUUUCAUUGAAGUAAAUUCCUUCCUUUUGUGCAUAUCCUUUAACCACCAGUCUUGCACGAUAUCUUUCCACUUGGUCAUUAACAUCACGUUUAAUCUUAUAGACCCAUUUCUUGCCGCUGGCUUUCCGACCCUCUAGAAGUACAACAAGAUCCCAUGUCUUAUUUUUAUGUAAGGCUUCCAUUUCUUCUUGCAUUGCUGCCAUCCACAAAGAAUCAUUUGAGGAACUCGUAGCCUCUUGAAAGGUUGAUGGUUCUCUAUCUCUUGUUAGAAGACAAUAUGCAUCAUGGCUUGCCAUAACAUAGUCUUAUUGCCAAUUUAGUUUCCCUUUUUGAUGUGUUAAUCGUCGAAAUUCAACACCAUAGGGUUCUUAUGGUUCUUGUACCUCGUGCUCUGGUUCCGCUUCAAAAGAAUCAUCUUCUACAGACUUUCCAUCUAUAUGAACAAUAUUGAUAUCUUUAGCAGUGCUGUCAUUUUCCUGCUCCCUUUGAAGUUCAUUCUCUGCAAAGAUUACAUCCCUGGUGACAAUAACCUUGCGGGAAGUGGGAUCCCACAAGCGAUACCCCUUGUCACUGUUAGCAUAGCCCAAGAAUAUGCAUUUCCUGGAUUUUGGAUCCAGCUUAGUUCUUUCUUGGGAGUUAUACAUCACAUACACAUGACAUCCAACCACAUGUAGAAUAUAAUAAUCAGUUAGCUUUCCUUUCCACAUCUCAAUCAGAGUCUUUAAACCAAUUGGACUUGAUGGUGAUCUAUUUAUCACGCAACAAGCAGUUUUCACGACUUCUACCCAGAACGACUUGGCUAAUCCUAUAGUUCACAACAUAGCUCUAGUACUUUCUAGGAGAGUCCUUUUCACCCGCUCUGCUACACCAUUCUACUAAGGUGUAUGGGCAAAUGUAAAUUGUCUCACUAUACCCUCUUCCUUGCAGAACGCCAAAAACUCAUUGUCUGUAUAUUCUCCUCCAUUGUCGGUCUUCAAGAACUUAAUUUUCUUUCCAACUUCAAGCUUAAUUAGUGCUUUGAAAUGCUUAAAUAUUGAAAACACAUAUGACUUCUUCUUGAUUAGGUAUACCCAUAAUCUUCUGGAGUAAUCAUCAAUGAAUGAUCUAAAAUAUUUUGCUCCUCCCGGUGACAUUUGCGGUGACUCCCACACAUCAGAAUGAAUCAAGUCAAGUAUGUGUUUCCUCUUCGUGGUUGAUCUAUCAAACAUCAACCUAUGUUGUUUGCUUAUCACACAGUGCUCACAAAAAGGUAAACUUACCUAUUUGAGCCUGGGUAAGAAAUCACAUUCCACAAGAACAUUUAAGCCUCGUUCUGACAUAUGGCCCAUUAUGCGAUGCCACGUUGUUGUUGAGUUUUCUUGACUAGUUGAUGCAACUGACACAUCACCCUAUUAUAAUGUCUCUCCCAUAAGAAUGUAUAUAUUUGAAGAUAACUUCUCUACCUAAGUAACUACUAGAGCAUCUCUCACCACCUUCAAGAUCCCACCUUCAAUAUGGGUCUUGUACCUGAGGUUAUCUAAUUCUCCAAUAGACAAUAAAUUCUUCUUUAACCCUUUCAUAUGUUGUACCUCUUGAAUUAUGCAAACUGUACCAUCAUACAUUUUUAUUUUGGCAGUACCUACACAACCAAUUUCUAGGCAUAAUCAUUUCCCAUGAACACUAAUCCUUCUGAGAUAGGUUGAUGAGUGUAAAACCAAUCUCGUCAAGGAGUCAUGUGUCAUGUUGCUCCUGAAUCAAUUAUCCAAACAUCAGUGAGUUAUUUACUUCCUUUGGAACCAGUUGUUUCUCCGCUAUAUAGAAUCUCUCCAUCAUCAUAGGUAUUGGAAACACAUCCUUGAGAUGAACUUGCCUCAAAAGACUUCUCACCAUUCUUCUUAAACCAACAAACCCUUUUCAAGUGACCUUUCUUGCCACAAUUGUAGCAUUUCAGGUUUAUCUUACUUCGAUACUUUGAUCUACCAUGAUUUUGUCUCCCACUAGGGCCACGUUCCAUUGAUCUUCCUCUCGUCAUUGUCAAAGCUUCUACUUGUUUUGAGCUUUCUUCACGGUCUUCCUUAUUUAUACAUCAAAACUCUUCCUCAAGAAUGGCUCCGACAACAUCAUCAAAAUAUAGACGGCUUAUAACUUUAUUAUUUGUUAAGUUGACAGCAAGUGAAUCAUAUGAAUCUGGUAAGCUCUGAAGUAGAAGUUUUGCACGUUCAUUUUCUGCUAUGCUGAAAUUUUUCAAUGUAAGUUGAGCAAACAUCGUAUUUAGAGUGUCAAUGUGAUUUGUCACAGAUGUGGGUUCACUAAUUCGAAGAGUGUAGAGUCUUCUCUUUAAGAAAAUUCGGUUGUGAAGUGACUUGACCUCGUACAAUUUGAUGAGAACAUCCCAAAUCUCCUUUGCGGUUUUAUUUUCAGCAACGCUAGACAAAACUGAAUCCGCCAAUGCUAAGUGUAAAUUGGAAACAACGUUGUUAUCCAUCUCAUUCCACUUCUCGUCAGAUAUUCCCUCAGCUCUAUCUUCAAUUGCGGCUAAGCAAUUAUCCUUCCUCAUGAUUGCCUUUAUCUUUAGUUUUCAUAGAGAGAAAUUACUCCCGUUGAACUUCUCAAUCUCAAAUUUUACUGUCAUGGUAAUUUCAAUUGAACCAGCUUGCAUAAUUUCACCGUGAACAAUAAAGUAUACAUGGACAAUAUUGUAUAUAUUUUACCGCACACCGGAACAAAUCUGGUAUACAUUAACAAUCAUUGUAAAAGUAUACAAUAACACGUAUGAAUAGUAACUGUGAACAAUAUUCGCAUCAGAAUAUGAACCAACACCAAAUGCUCUGAUACCAUUGUUGGAUAUUAGAAUAACAUGAAAUAAUAAUAACACAACUAAAAUUUGAGAGAAAAGUAUAGGAAUAAGAAGAAAUAUAGUUAAUUCUAACUCUUGGAUGAUUAUAGGAUGAUUAUAAACUACAAUAUGAUUUCUCUAUUUAUAAGAGGAUAUGAUCCAUAAUUUCAAAAUUUUGUUGUGAAAAAGAAGUAGAAAAAGACGUUUCUUAAAAAAAAUGAAUGAAUGACAAAAGAAAAAGAAUGACAUUGUUAGAAGGAUCACAAAUUUCUAGUAGUAACAAAAAGGUAUGAUGAAUGGAGGAGAACUAGGAACCUAACUCCAAAGGUGUAACCCUACUUUCCUAAAUAUAUCCUACCUUAACAUAAGCCAAGUUACAACCUGGAAAGCCCUCUAAUGUGUGUGUUGUGAGUUCUUUGAUGAACUUUAUUAGAACGUGAUCAAGCUAAGUUUAAUUGAUUUUGCAUGUUGAUUGAGUGAUCACCCAAUCCAAUGAGUGAGUUAUAGUGAGUUGAGAGACAGGUUGAAUACUCGUCAAUGUUAAGGAUGUUUUACGAAUUCAUCGGAUAGAAGUUGGAAGCUAGAACAUGGUCAAGUAAAAAAUAAUUAUUUAGUGAUGUUCGAUUGAUAUUGUGCGACUUGUUGUCUGUUGAAAUGUGCAAUUACAGGCGAGUUACUUGAGGACAAGCAACGAUUCAAGUUUGGGGUUGUGAUGACAGUCUGUCAUUGCAUGUAUUUAGUUAAAGAAUCAAAGUAAAACAAGUGAAAGUCAACCAAAUAUGAGAAGUAAUGGUCAAAGAAUGAAGGGAAAAUAGCUAACUGUACAAAUUGUAAUUUUGAGUGAAAAAAGAGCAAAAAAUACCGAAGCUUCGAAAAUAAUCACAACCACCAUCGCGCCCGCGAUAGGGCAUUAAAAGCUUCUUCGCGCGCGUGAUGCAGUGUAUCACACGCAUGAUGGUCACUUUUUUGGGCCUUUUUUGACGUGUUCUGGUCUAUUCUGACACCUUUAAAAGGGGAAAUUGUAUACUUUCACGUGGGUUACAAAAUUUGGCACUGGAAGCAUGAUUUUACAACAUUAAAGGGUGAUUUUGAGAGCAUUAGAAGCCAUUGGAGGCCAAUCCUUCAAGGGAAUUCAUAUGUUAUUUUUAUUUAUUCAAUUGGUAUUGUAAUUUUAACUAUGAGUAAUUAAGCUUCUCUAGGUUAGGUUGUGUGAUGAUGAAUCUUAUUCAAUCUUGUUGGCAUUAUAUGUUGGUUUGACUUUGUAUGAAUCCUUUGAAUUAUAAUUUUAUUCAGUUGUUGCUUAAUCUUAAUGCUUUUUAUUUGAGAUACUCUAUUAAUAUGAUUUUGGACACAUAGGGAUUAUUAACCCUUAGCCUAUGUGUUAGACCUAGGGAAACUAUUCUACUUAUGCUGGUUGAAUAGGGAUAGAAGAUCACGAGCAAUGGCAUAAGGAAUUAACAUUAUGUACAUCGCCUAACCCUGUUUACGCUGGCGGAUUAGGGAUAGGGAGCUCCGAGUAGUGGUUAGUGAUUUAUUUCGUGAGUGGUGAGGUUAUAAGGAUGAUAUCAUUCAUAGAAGGCAUCAUACUGUAAGACCCCAAUUUUGACCCUAAGAUCUCUCAUGUUAUCUCAUCAUAUGCAUUGGCUUUGGGAUCACACAUCGGCAUCCUCCUUACCCCUCAUUCAUUGGGUUUCCAUUGGGAGAGAUCACAAAGCAUGUUUGAUUGUAUCAUACUUUAUUUUUCUUUAUUUACUAACCAAAAUACCAAAAAUAUGUCCAUGUAUAACUUUGUUUCUUUUGUAGGUAGUAUGUGCAUCCACCAAUACCUCAUCAAGCUCACAACUAGGGUUUGAGGCCCUCAGGGCAAGGAUAUCAAUCAAGAGAUGGUUCACAUUGGUUCUAUACAUCAUAUAUGGAUCCGCGUAUUCUUCAUUUAUCAUUUGGAUCAAGAAAUCAUCAAGAGUUUGAAGCUAGUUUGCCUUGGAAACCCUAAUUCAUCUGGGUAUCUUGUGUGACUUCCUCAUCAAGUUUCUUUAAAAAUUGGUCCAAUAUAUCAAGGGAUACUUCACCAUACAUCAUAUUAUGAAUAUAUGAUCCUUAAUGAGUCCAAAAGAUCAAAAGAACUUCAAUUUUGCAAGUUGGUUCAAAGAGGUUGACCAGAGAAAGUCAACUGGUCAAAAAUGGGGUUCCCUAGACUCUAUCUCCUACAAUUUUUGUCAUAUGAAAAUAAUUCAAAUAUAAAAGUUACUCCUUAUGACAUUUAAAACAACUUUCAUGUUUAGGUUAAGAGCUAGUUUUUCUUGUAAAGUCAUUUUUUAUGGUGAAAGAUUAUAGGUCAUUUUGUCUGUGUCCUAGUUAGGAGGUCAACUUCCAAGGACCAUAACUUGCUCAAUUUGUAUGAGAUGAAGACCAUGAAAGUUUCAUGAUCCAUUUAGAGAUUUCCUAUCCAACUUUGAUUCUUUUAUAAAUUUCAAAUUCAACUUGCAAGGGCUUGUGCCAAGAGGAAACAUUAUAGGUCAUUUUGGACCAUUGCCAUUGAAUGAACAAUUUUCCUCAACUUCUAAAAUGCAUAACUAAUUCAUGACAAAUCCAAAUGAGGUCAAAGUUAUUACCAAAUUGAAUAGGAUUGAAAUAGCUACAAUGUUAAUGAAGAAAUGUUUUCCAUUUGAAGCUCAUAAAAAAAGUUAUUCAAGGUGGAAGAAGUGGAUAUUUGACUUAGUACUUAGAAAAAUUUCAAUUAUGUUUGAUUUCUCAAACUUCCACCUCAAAAUUCAUCAUGAUCUAAGCCUCAAAUAGAAAAGUGUUCAACAUGAAAGUUUUCCCCCCUGAUGUCACCUUUCUGAAACGUCCAAAAUCACCUCAUUUGGAUAAGAUUUGAAUGACUUGCGCAUGGUUACUCUUCAUGGUCCCAUUUGGAUGAAUCUCAUGAUCAUUUCUCAAUUACAAAUGCAUGGCCUCAUGUUAGACUUUAAGCAUCAUUCAUGAUCAUUUUUGGACCUGAUUACAUCAUCUCAUAGGCCUAUCACAUGCCCAUGCAAGUAUGCACUUCACCUUUCCAACUUUGGCCAAUUUUUGAAGUGUGUGAAAAGCAAUGAACAUGGCUAUAAAUACAUGACCCUAGUGAUCAGAAUGAGGAUCCUCUUGCCCCAGAUUUUCCCCCUUUCUUCCCUAAACACCAUUGAAAGGAUAAUCUUGAAGAUUUCUUGAGAAAUCGAGUUUCAAUUCUCAUUCUGUUUUAGAAUUGAAACUCCAAGAGUCCAAGUUUUUUAAUCAUCAAUAUCAUCUCCUGCAAGCUUCUAGAGUCAAGCCAAGCCAAAUUGGAAGCAAGAUUAAUCUAAUUUGAAGCUCCCCGAAGGAGAGAUUUCAGAAACUUCUCUUCUUCGAUUCUUCCUCAUUUCUCAUCCAUUUUGAUUGAUUGUUGGUUUGUUGAUGUCCUACCAAUGUAGGCAACAAGAUUGAGUUGCUUUGAGGUCAAAUCGAAGCAACUCAGUUCAUGAUCCUCAAAAUUCAAAUCCAUGUAUCUUUCAAUAUACUUGGAAUUAGAUAAAAUUGAGUCCAGAUUCGUGCUUUUGAGCAUUUUUUCUCUAAAACUAUGUCCUUGUUUUUCAUUUUGGUGAAAGUUUGUGGUGGACCAGUCCGGUGAGGUCCACCGGAGAAGAUGACCGCUUCGGUGGUGCGUUGGCACUCUCUCAACCUUUUGAUCCAUUUGAAAUGUUCUAAUCUUGGCCCCUUGCUUUUGAUUACCAUGUGUGUGUCGCAGUUGACUGAGGUGUUUGUGCAACGUGCACGCUUGGCCAUUAGAUCUGCCACCUCAAUUAAUGAGGGAGAUCUGAUGGCCCCCAAUUUUCCAUAUUUCCGGAUUUUUUAUUUAAUUGUGUUAUUUUAUUUAAUUCAUAAUAAAUCCAUUUUUAAUCAAAAAAAUAUGGGACUUUCACCCAAAAAAAUUAAAUAUUUCUCUAUUCCAUAUUCUGAAUUAAAAUUAUUUUUUGGAUUGAUUUUGAUAUUUUUCACGAAUUAAGUGUUUUUGUGCAUAUUUUUAAUUGUUUAAAAAUACUUCUGACUUUUUAAAAAUCAUGAAUUUUUUUGUCUAAGGUCCUUUAACCUUGUUUGACCUAGGAUAAAUCCAUUGGCCAUUUAUUUGGUGUUUUGAAGGGAUUUGAGGUUUUGUCCAAAUAAAAAUGCAUUUAAAUUUAUUUUUAAUUGAUUAAAUGUUUGGAAAUUAUGUUGAGCCAUUUUUAUGGUCUUGUGAUGUUUGACUUUCUGUUUGGGCUUUGGUCAUGGUUGAUUUGACUUUUGUUGGAUCAAAACCAUUGGAUUUAGCGAAUUGAUGAAAUGUACAUUUCAUCUCCCAAAAUAAAUGGAUGGUUUUGAUUAGAUGAAAUUACUCUCAUGAUCAAUUUGUGUUUCUAUUUCCACUUCCCUCUUCAUCUUCAUCCCCAUUCUUCCCCAUUUCCUCAUUUGACCAAUGAAAGCUCUAAUGUCUAAAUGCUAAUUGAUUCAUCAAUGACUUUGUGUCAGAUGAAUCAAUAUAAAUAUGACUGAGAUAGGUCCCUUCCCAUUUUUCUUUAGUGUGUGGUAUGUUUUAGGAGUUUGGUUCUUUGUACCAAAUCUCUAACAUGCAUUAACACCUAUAUUUUUAUUGUUCGGCCUCAUAUAGUUGUGACUUCUACAUAAGUCCAAUUACGAUUGCUUAAAAUUGAGCUAAAUUUGACCCUCAAGGCACAACAUUCUAGUAAGUGAGAUUGUAAAGUCUCCCAUUCUUCAUGGCAUUGUGUGGGGAAUUGACCUUUUUUCCUUUCAUGAGAGCUAGUGGCAUACUUAUUGAAUUAUCCAAGUUGGAGCCCUUCUCAUGGAUGAUGUCUUGGUUCAAGGAUCCAUACUUGUGAGUGAAUGGUUGAGUGUUAUCCAAAGAAUGACUUAAUCAAUUAAACUCAACACUAACUUUUGACUAACCAUUGACUAACUUUUAGUCCUUAUGCUUUUACUUUCAAGCCAUUUACUUUAUACAAUUUUAAUUUCCAGUGAUUUAUUAUUCAUUGCCAUUUACAUUUCAUAUAGCUUAUUUAGGUUCAAGUCCUUUUUCACUUUGCUCACUUGAGCCAUAUCUUGUGAUUGUAUAUAUUUGUUUGUGUGUUUUGAUCUUGUUUGUGGUUUUAAGACCUUAAAACACCUAAUAACAUCAAAAACCCUAAAAAACAUUUGGUGGACUGUUGGGGUUUGAUUUGAGCUUUGGACUUAGAAUUAGGUAACUUUACCUAUGCUAAAGGACUUGGCCAAUGCCAACAUAUGAGACUGAGCUAUUCUUGACAAGUGAUUUUUAUCUGUCUCUGUGAUUAAUUGUUACUUUGUUAUGAUCUUUGUCUGAUGUUUUGUUCUGAGCUGAUCAAGGAAUAUUUCAUCUGAUACAUGGGAAGACAAUGAAGACUACUAACUAUUGGAAUGCUUGCUUGUAUGUGGCUAUCUUUAUUUGAUGCCUUAAUCUUUAUGAUGUCUAGAUAUUGCUCAUUGCUUAUUGCUUAUUGCUUGAUCAAAGUCCAAAGGAAAAUGGGUUUCUAUAUGACAUUCUUGUCUGUUGGAUUGCAUCCCAUUUGUUAGAUCUUUUCAACUCUUAACUUUUGAAUUUUUGCUUAGGGUCGUCUAUUCAUCUCCUUCCACUUCUUAAAUUUCAAAAUCUCUCCCUCGUUUCAAAAAACUUUCUUUGCUUGUGAUUUUAAAUUUAUACAUGUUUUAAUAAUUAGAAACUUUGACCUUAUGCCAAUGAAUUUUAAAAUCUUUUCUUAAUCAAAUUUGUAAAUAAACUUAACCAUAUUUGACUUAAAAUUUCAAAAGACAAAAAUAACUAACAACCUCAUUCAAAACUUUGGCCUUUUUGUGCCUUUUUUACUUAAACUUUUGUUAAAAAUCAACUCACCAACUUUUUUGAAAUUUUUAUCACGAACUACGAGGUUUUGAUCCCUCAUUUUUAUGUUGGUACGUAUGCACAAGACCGAAGGUGUUGUCAAACAAAAAAAAAUAAUCAAUGAAUUCUUUUCUCAUCCCCACACUCUAUUUUUCUUAAACAUCUUUUAUACCAAAACAUAUGCACACAUAAAAAGGGCUCCCUAGGAGUAUCUAGGACACUUUGGAUGCUAACACCAUCCCUCUGUGUAAUCAACCCCCUUACCUGUAAUCUUUGGCAUUUUAUUAAUUUUGAUUUGAAAACUUCUUAUACUUGGGUUUUGUUCGUACUUUUCCCUUUUUCUUUGGAAACAAUAAAAGCGCGGUGGCAACUCUGAUUUUAUUGACGUUAAACUUAUCCAUAGCUUGAUGGUCAUGAAUUUACCGCUACACAUACAUCAACAAGAGAGCAUAAGGGGAUUCUAAUACACAACCCAAUCGUCUUAAUUACUUAUAUUUCAAACUCGUAAUUUGUUUUCCAUCUAAAAACCUGAAAACCUCUCAUUUACUGCUUUCCUUUACAUUGCACAAUUGUUGGCUUGUUCGAACACAGUCCUUGUUGAUUCAAUCUUUUAUUACUAUGAUAGUAUCUGUACACUUGUCGAGAAGUCAUCAUAUAACAAUUCCAAUCGAUAAGCAUAAUAUCUUUUAUGCUAAAAAUUUAUUUCGCCACACAAAAUCAAUUUUGUUUUAGAAACUCUGAUAAAAGUUUUUCAAACUAUUUUUCAGAGGAAUUUUUUAUGAAGGUCUAUUUACCCCCCCCCCCCCCCCCCCCCCCCNCCCCCCCCCAAUAUACCGUUUAUUGUCCAUAUUCUCAUCCAACACUUUUAAACUACUCUUCAAUUUUCAUCAUAAAAAUUAAACGACAAUUAUACUUGCACAACACAUAUAUUCACUCAAAGGAUAAAUUUUUAUCCUCUUAGGAUACUCUAAAAUAUCUAAGGCAUGCAAGUGUAUGACAAGAAAACCUUAAGGGUUAGGGAUCAAUCCAUAUAAAGUAUUAUGAUAAAGAGUUUGAUAAUAAUAAGUCAUAGCUAGUUAAAGAUUUUAAAGAUUUGGAAAUCAUAAAAAAACUUCUAACACAUGUACAUGUACAUAACAUUGAAGCAUCCCUUCAGUGUUACAAAGAAUAUGAUCCCAUGUGAUGAAGCACCACCUUGACUAACCUUUAAGUACAUGUCAUCAUAUCCAGAAGAGAAAAUCAUUAGUAACAAAGAUGAUCCUCUAAGUAACAUAUCAUCAUUCAUAAAUGAAACCUCUUUAGUUGAAUGCCUUUCAAUGCUUGAACCAACCUCUGUGGAUUUGAGAGACGAUGUUUAGAUAGUGGAAAUUCAAAAAGAACUAAAUCAAUUCCAAACAAAUGAAAUUUUGGUUAUUACGCCAUGAUUACAAGGAAGACAUGUCAUUAGAGCCAAAUGAGUUUUCAUAAACAAUCUUAAUGAGAAACGAGAUGUGGUAAGAAAUAAAGCUAAACUAGUAUAUCAAGUCUACAUUUAGUAAGAAGGUAUCAAUAGUACUAAAACUUUUUCACUUGUAAGUUAGAAGAAAUUUAAAAUUUUACGGGACCAUUUAUUCCCUUAACUUUUAAAAAUACCGAUUCAAUCCCUUAUGUCUUCACAUGUUAGACCUUUCUGUUAGGCAUGUUAGUCAAAGUAAAAAUAAAUGGCCAUUUGACAUAAACUUGGCACUGAUGUGGCAUAUGCUCAUUACCAAGGUCGCCAAGGUCAUCAAAAUUCUAAGAAAAAUUCCAAAAUUUUGUCUUCACCAUUGAUUUAAACCAUGGUCGCAUUGAUUGCUGGGUAAGAUACUAUACCGUUGGGCCACUUCACCAUUUUUGAUUUAAUUUACAAAUUAAAUAUAUAUUGAAAUAUUAAUUAUUUGUAAAAAGAAGAUAUUCAACCCAACCAAUAUCACUGUUUUAUCCAAUUUUCUUGUUUCCAUACCCAAAUGGAUUAGCUGGUUAUGCUUUUUCCUUUUCAUCAAAAGUCAAGGAAAAGAUAUUAACAUCUUCAUAUUCGAAUAAAGAUAUAUAUUCCAUUGAAACACCAUGGUUAACAACCUUAAAGAAUCCAAACUCUUCAGUUAUGAGUGCGGUUUGUUUCAAGUUUCUUAAACAUGGAUAUUGUAGUGGUAAAUUCAUGACCAUCAAGCUAUGGAUAAACUUAACGUCAAUAAAACCAGAGUCUCCACCGUGCUUUUAUCGUUUCCAAAGGAAAAGGAAAAAGUACGAACAAAACCCAAGGAUAAAAUGCCAGAGAUUACAAGUAAGGGGGUUGGUUACACAGAUGGAAGGUGUUAGCACCCGAAGUGUCCUAGGUACUCCUAGGGAGGCCUUUUUGUGUGCAUAUGUCAAUCAAAAAAUUAACUUUAGUUCAGAAUGUGGAAGAGAAAAAUAUUUUUUUUUUGUGAAAGUCCCAUAUUUUUUGGAUUAAAAAUGGAUUUAUUAUGAAUUGAACAAAAUAACUCAAUUAAAUGAAAAAUCAAAAAAUAUGGAAAAUCAUCGACCAUCAAUCUCCCUCAUUAAUUGAGGUGGCAAAUCUGAUGGCCACGCAUGUGCAGUCCACCAAAGACCAAGCCAAACGCGUUGCAUGAAUGGUAAUUGGAACGAAGGGAUGAAAUUAAAUUUUUUUGAAUGGAUCAAAGGGUUGGGAACACGACAACACACCACUGAAGCUAGGGCUCUGGUCAUCUUCUCCGGUGAACCUCACCGGACUGGAUGACCACCAACCAUCACCAAAAUGAAAAACAAGGACAUGAUUUUAAAGAAAAAAUGCCCAGGAGCUCGAGUAUGGUCUCAAUUUUGUCCAAUUCCAAGUAUAUUGAAAGAUACAUGGAUUUGAAUUUUGAGGAUUAUGAACUGAGUUGUUUCGAUUUGACCUCAAAGUAACUCAAUCUUGUUGCCCACAUUUGUAGGACUUCAGCAAACCAACAAUCAAUCAAAAUGGAUGAGAAAUGAGGGAGAAUCGAAGAAGAGAAGUUUUUGAAAUCUCACUUUCGAGGAGCUUCAAAUCAACUUGAUCUUGCUUCCAAUUUGGCUUGGCUUGACUCUAGAAGCUUGCAGGAGAUGAUAUUGAUGAUUAAAAAACUUGGACUCUUGGAGUUUCAAUUCUAAAACAAAAUGAAAAUUGAAACUCGAUUUCUCAAGAAAUCUUCAAGAUUAUCCUUUCAAUGGUGUUUGGGGAAGAAAGGGGUCGGAGCUUGGGAAAGAGGAUCCACAUUCUGAUCACCAGGGUCAUGUAUUUAUAGCCAUGUCCAUUGCUUUUCACACACUUCAAAAAUUGGCCAAAAUUGGAAAGGUGAAGUGCAUGCUUGCAUGGGCAUGUGAUAAGCCCAUGAGAUGAUGUAAUCAGGUCCAAAAAUGAUCAUGAAUGAUGCUAAAAGUCUAACAUGAGGCCAUGCAUUUUUAAUUGAGAAGUGAUCAUGAGAUUCAUCCAAAUGGAACCAUGAAGAGUAACCAUGCUCAAAUAAUUCAAACCUUGUCUAACUGAAGUUAUUUUGGACUUUUUGGAAAGGUGGGAUCAAGGGGAACAACUUUAAUGUUGAACAUAUUUCCAUUAGAAACUUGGAUCAUGAUGAAUUUUAAGGUGGAAGUUUGAGAAAUCAAACAUAAUUGAAAUUUUUCUAAGUACCAAGUCAAAUAUCAUUUCUUCCACCUUGAAUAACUUUUGCUAUGAGCUUCAAAUGGAAAAAGUUUAUUCAUAAAAGUUGUAUAUCUUAAAAUUAUAUUCAAUUUGGUCAUGAAGGAGUUAUGCAUUUUAGAAGUUGAGGAAAAUUGCUUGUUCAAUGGUAAUGACCCAAAAUGACCUAUAAUGUUUCCUCUUGGAACAUGCCCUUGCAAGUUGAAUUUGACAUUUUUCAAAGAAUAAAAGUUGGAGAGGACAUCUUGAAAUUGAUUAUGAAACUUGUAUGGACUUCCUCUCAUAAAAAUUGAGCAAGUUAUGGUCCUUGGAUGUUGACCUUCUAACUAGGGUACAAACAAAAUGACCUAUAAUGUUUCACCAUAAAAAGUGACUUUCCAAGAAACAAUAGCUCUUGAUGCCAACAUGAAAGUUGUUUGGAAUGUAAUAAUAAGUAACUUUUCAGUUGGUAUAAUUUUCAUAUGACAAAAUUUGUAGGAGAUAGGGUCUAGGGAACCCCAGUUUUGACUAGUUGACUUUCUCUGGUCAAGUUCUUUGAACCAACUUGCAAACUUGAAGUUAUCUUGAUCUUUUGGGCUCAUGGAGGAUCAUAUAUGCAUAAUAUGAUGUUAUAUGAAGUAUACCUUGAUAUAUUGGACCAAAUGCUGGAGAAACUUCCUGAGGAAGUCACACAAGAUACCCAGAUGAAUUAGGGUUUCCAAGGCAAAACAAGCUUCAAACUCUUGAUGAUUUCUUGAUCCAAAUGAUAAAUAAAGAACAUGGGGAUCCAUACAUGAUGUCUAGAACCAAUGUGAACCAUAUCUUGAUUGAUCUUAUUGCACUGAGGGUCUCAAACCCUAGUUAUGAGCUUGAUGAGGCAUUGGUGGAUGCACACACUACCUACAAAAGAAACAAAGCUAUACAUGGACAUAUUUUUGUAUUUUGGUUAGUAAAUAAAGAAAAACAAAGUAUGAUACAAUCAAAUGUGCUUGGUGAUCUCUCCCAAUGCAAAACCAAUGAUUAUGGGGUAAGGAGGAUGCCAAGGUGUGAUCCCAAAGCCAAUGCAUAUGAUGAGAUAGCAUGAGGGAUCUUAGGGUCAAAUUUGGGGUCUUACAGAUAUUUCUUUGUUGUUGUUUUUGACAACACAACCAUUUUGAAUGGAUGAAAGAAAGCAUAGGUGAUUAAUAUUCUAAAAUUAUAAUGAGUUUUUAUCAUGUGUAUAACCUUAAUAAAAAAAAAGCCACAACUUAUUUCAGAAAUUAUUUGAAACCAAGAAAUCUUAAUAAGAGCUAUGGGAAACUUAUUAUGAUUUUUUACCAUGUGUGCAAUCUUAAUCGAAAUCCAGAAAUUAUUCUACAAAUAUUCCAUAAAUCAAAAUCAAAAUUGAAAUCAUACUUACAAAUUGAAAUUGAAAUCUUAAUCGAAACCAAAACCCAGAACAUCAAACUAAAACUAAAAUCUUAAUCAAAAUUGAAAUCUCUAUUGAGAUUGUUCAUCAUCUUCCCUGAAAUCUCUAUCGAGAUUAUUCAUCAUCUUCCCUAAGAUGCUUUUGCUGAAAUAACCACUGCAACACCGAUUGGGUUUAAUGAACAUUACAGAAUCUGGAGACAAGAUUGUUCUUCAUCAAUUUGAGUUGUUUUGGCGAGAUGAGGUUCUUCGAUAGAAAUAAAGUUAGGAACUUUUUGGUUACUUAGGAGAAAAGGAAAAUGAACAAGUUAAUGAAGAUGAACAUUGAACUAAAUCAACCAUUCCUAGAAGCUGAAAGGAACAAAAUUGAUAAUGAAUUUGAGGAUGAGAUUUCUUCCUCCAUGUUUUCAUGGAGAAAUCAUUGGUACCCAGCUUCUUUAAUUGAAGAUCUGAACCCUGGCUUACCAACACCGUUUCAGCUUCUAGGUCAUGAAAUCGUGAUUUGGUAUGAUAAUUCCAAAUCUCAAUGGGUUGCUUUUGAUGAUAAAUAUCGUCACUGUCUUGUUAGAGAAACAUUGAAUAAUGCUCUAUUUAGAUAAACAUUUGAAUUAAACGUUUAUAAACAUGUGAAUAUAUAUCUAAUUUGUAAAUUAAAUCGUCAAAGGUUAAAUGGACCAGUGGUACACCAUCUUGUCCAACUACCAAGGUGACCUUGUUUUGAAUCUAGGUUGAAGAUAAAUUUUUGGAAUUUUGUUUAGAAUUUUGAUGACCUUGUUGAUGACCAUAGGCCACAUCAGAUGCCACACAUGCUAAUAUAGAUGUCGUUUAUGGAAACUAGACAUAAAGGACUUAAAUGACAAUGUAUGAAGACAUAAAGGACUAUAUUGGUCUUUUAAAAGUUUAUGGACCAAAAUAGACCCUGAGAUAUAUGUUUUUAAAUUGAAAAAUAAUUGUAUGAUCUCAAACAAGCCCUCAAAGUUUGAUAUGGUGGGUUUAGUAACAUUCUCAUUAAAAAUGAUUUUUAAAGAGGACAACUUGACAUUAAAUUAUUUUGUAAAAUAACCAAGAAUAGUAUUUUUUGGUAUAUGUUGAUGAUAUAUGUUGUAGAUAAUUUAGAUAUAUGUUGAUGAUAUAUUUUUUUGGUUCUCUAAUAUGUAACUAUUUUUCAAUACUUUUUCAAGUUAAUGCAAACUGAAAUUUGAAAUGAGGGCGACGGGACUUCGAAGUUAUUUCUGGGUAUUCAAAUAAAUCAAUUGUACAUAUGGAAUAUACAUUCACUAAAUAAAAUGUAAGCAUAUGAAAACUCCAAUUCACCUUAAUUGCAUUAUACAUAAAAGAUGAAAUCAACACUAGGGUAGCCCAAAAUGUAUACAAAAUUAUAAUAAUUUCACUUAUUAUCUCACUAUUUUUAGACCUGAUAUUCUAUUCAUUGUAUGUAUGUACGUUCAUUUCCAAUCAGUUCCUAGAAAAUCCAAUUUAACUAACAUUAAGAGAAUGCUUAUAUAUGUGAUAGAUACUACUAACAUUGGCUUGUAUUAUAAGAAAUUAAAUGAUUACAAGCUAGUUAGGUUCUGCGAUGUUGUCUAUGUUGGAGACAAAAUAGAAAGAAAAAAUAACAAUGAAAGUUGUUAGUUCCUUGGUUAUAAUAUCAUUUCCUAACUAAGAAAAAGACAACAAAUAAUUUCAAUAUCCAUAAUAGAAGCAUAAUACAUAUCAACUGUAAGUUGUAACACUCAACUUCUUUGGAUGAAACAUCAACGUGAAGAUUAUCAUAUAAAGGAAAGUAAGAUUUAUAUUUAUUAUGAUAAUACUUCUUCCAUUUUUUAAUUUAUGAAUCAAAUUUUGCACUCUAUAGCAAAACAUGUUGAGAUUAAACAUCACUUUACUAGAGAUUAUGUUCAGAAAGAGAUUUUAGAUAUAAAGUUUGUUGAUAGAGAUCUUCAAAGGGCUAAUAUAUUAACAAAACUCUUAACCGAAGAUAAAUCUAGUUUUAUAAAGAAGAAUUUAAAUAUUCUCUUUAUAAAAAAGAAUGAUGUUUUAAUCUUAUAUAUAUAUUAUAUAUAUUAUAUAUAUAAUUAUAUAUAUUAUAUAUAUAUAUAUAUAUAUAUAUAAUAUAUAUAUAUAUAAUAUAUAUAUAUAUAUAUUAUAUAUUAUAUAUUAUAUAUAUAUAUUUAUAUAUAUAUAUAAUAUAUAUAUAUAUAUAUUAUAUUUAUAUAUAUAUUUAUAUAUAUUAUAUAUAUAUAUUAUAUAUUAUAUAUUAUAUAUUAAUAUUAUUAUAUAUAUAAUAUAUAUUUAUAAUAUUAAUUAUUAUUAUAUUAUAUAAUUCUAUAUAUAUUUAUAUUAUAUAUAUAUAUGAGCUGAAAGAUCUUGACUUAAAGUUCUACCUUAACUUUCAAACAUACAAUUUCAACUAAGAUUAACCCUAAGUGUUGUGUUUCUAUUAUUAUUUUUUUGGUUGUAUUUUCUAAGGGGAUAUUUUGAAUAUAAUUCUUUGAAUGAUCAAAUGAAAAUAUUUUUUUUUGUUUCUAAGCCAAAGAAUGAUCACCUGCCUCCAGACAAAGCUAUGAUCAUCUGUUGCCUAACAAGGUUAACCACUUAGACCUCAAGGCUAAAUGUUAUUUGAAUAAUCAUUUGUGCCAAAUCUAACUAAACCAAACCAAUGCAGUUUGAAUUGAUUCGGUUGAUUCGAUUUCUUACAAGAUUUUUAUUGAGCUAUACAUACACAUAUAGAGGACAACACAAAUUUGUGUCUAGUAAUUCAUACAUUACCAAAUAAAAAAUAAAAAAAAGUCAAUGAGGACAAGCUACAACACCAUUUCAACACCAAAUAAUAAAAAAAACUCAAAUAACAAUGUGUAUUACAAAGUACAAAUUGAAAUUUUAGACAAUAACAUUAAUGCCUUACAUUACAAUAUUAUGGUAGCAACACAAGAAUACCACCUAGACCAAAACUAGACUAUCCAUCACACAAUAAAACAAAUAAAUACUUCAAUCAUAUAUUAGAUCUUAAAAACACAACACUUAAGGUUGAAGAAGAGAAAAGAUGUUAGAAAUCCACUACAACUUAUGAAGAAUUUUUAUCAAUCUUGAUGAACAAGAUUGUUAUCAACCAUGCAAUGACAAUGAAAAUAAAAGAACAAUUGAGAAAGAAAGAAAAGAACGUUGGAGAAUAAUAAUAAUAUUUUCUUCAGAGUUUUUUCUCUGCCCAUAAUAUGUGGACAACUUCUUUAUUGACUUUGCGACUGCAAAAUUCUAUGAAUACAAUGUUAUGACUUCUCUAUUGUAAGAAUAAGGGUUACUCCCUCUAUUUAUAGAUUUAGGUUAACUUACUCCCUAAGUCAAAGCCCAAAACUAUAAAAACCAAAAAUAGUUAACACUACUAAAAAUAGGCCUAAGCUGAAAUCAUGUAUGAAGCAACAUGCUUCGACACUUCGACACACUAAUACAACUCAACACACUAGGUGAUUUGACAUUUCCUUGCUUUUGUCGAGCAACCUGCUUCGACAAAAGGAAUUACAAUUCAAUGCACCGCCUAAUUCAUUAUGUCUAAGCUAUAUAUAUUCAUUAUAGUUCUUAGUCUUUUGAGCACUUCGACUUGCAUUCCCUUCGUCAUGAUGUCUGCAAUCUGAUUCUCAGUUUUGUAGUGUUCCACAUUCAUCUUCCCAUCUACUGCUUUCUCUCAAAGAUAAUGGAACCUCAUUUCGAUGUGCUUGGUUCGACCAUAUGCUAUCAGAUUCUUUGCCAGAUUGAUAGCUUACAUGAUGUCGAUCUUUAUGGUAAUUGCUCCAUGACUCUUUGUUGUUAUCUCUUUGACUAGAUUCACCAUCCAUGUUGCUUGACAUGCACAAAGGGAAGCAACUAUGUAUUCUGCUUCACACGACGAUAAUGCCACUACUGGCUCCUUUCUCGAACUCCAAGCAACUGGUGCACCACCUAGCAUAAACACAUAGCCAUCUGUGGAUUUUUUAUCGCCAGCAUCACUACAACAACUUGAGUCGGUGUAUCCCACUAGUUUGCAUUCUUUUCCUUCAUCAUCUACAGGAAACAAAAUGUCAUAGUCGAGAGUUCCUUUCAGAUACCUUAAUAUCCUCUUCGUCGCUGCUAGAUAUGAUAUCUUUGACUUCUGCGUGAAUCUACUCCUCAUACCUAUAAUGUAUGCUAAGUCAGGCCUUGUGUGACAAAUGUAUCGAAGUGACCCAAUAAGUCUUCUAUAUUGGGUUGAGUCGACAUCAUCUUCAUCUGAAUCUUUCGACAGUUGUAAUCUUGGCUCAACUGGAGUCGAAGUUGGAUUGAAAUCUUGCAUCUCAAAUCUCUUGAGCAUUUCGCCUGCAUACCUUCUUUGAUGCAUCAUCAAACCUCUACCACUCUUGUAGAAUUCGAUGCCAAGGAAAUAUGAAAUGUCACCCAGAUCUGACAUUUCGAAUUCCUUGUUGAGAUCACCUUUGAAGUCUCCAAUCUCCUUCUUGCAGCUACUUGUUAUCAACAAGUCAUCGACAUAGAUACAUAGUAUAAGAAAUUCAAUCUUGCUUCUUCUUACAUAUACUCCAUGUUCAGUUGUACACUUCAUAAAUUCCUUCUCCCUUAGAAAUCCAUCUAUUUUCUUGUUCCAAUCUCUUGGAGCUUGUUUAAGUCCGUACAAGGCUUUAUGUAGACUGUACACUUUUCUUUCUUCGCCUUGUUUCAUAAACCCAACUGGUUGUACAACAUAAACUUCUUCUUCUAAGGGGCCAUUCAAGAAUGCAUAUUUCACAUCCAUCUAACACAUCUGCCACCUGUUCAUGUUUUCUAGACCAACAACCAACCUAAUUAUUCUGAUCCUAGCAACAGGUGCAAAAACUUCAUCGAAGUUGAUUCCUUCUUUCUGAAGAAAUCCUUUCACCACAAGUCUUGCCUUAUGUCGAGCCACUUCUCCUUUGGGAUUUAGCUUCACCUUGUAUACCCACUUCAUAUCGAUUUCCUUCUUAUCUUGGAGCAAUUCAACAAGCGACUAAGUACUGUUGACUUUGAUUGACUUCAAUUCUUCGUUCAUUGCUUUCACCCACUUAGAAUCUUUCAAUGCCUUAGCUGCAUUGAUCGGUUCGACAUUUGUGUAGAAAGUAUAGUGUACCAACUCACAUUCUUCAUUUACCACAUCAUCUGAUGUAAUCACACAUUCUUACAACCUUGUAGGCAUAUGUCUUGUUCUUUGAGGUCUGCUUGGGUCUGCUUCACCUCUGACUUCUUGUCGAACUUCUCUUUCGACUUCACUAGCUGGAUCAUCACAUAAUAUUCUCACUGAAUCCUUCUUAACAUUCUCAAUCCAAUCCCAUUCCUUAAGCUCAUAUAUGAUCACAUCCCUGAUGACCACCACUUGCUUAUUCACUGGGUCGAACAACUUGUAUCCUCUAGUCGAAUGAUAUCAUAUCAGGAUCAUUUGACUCGACUUGCCAUCAAGUUUUCUUCUCAAUUGAUAUGGAACAUGUAUAUAUGUUAUAGAUCCAAACACCUUUAGAUGACUCAACCUAGGCUUGGCACCAAACAAAUAUUCUUCUGGCGUGAUUCCUUUUAUCUUCUUCGUCGAACAUCUAUUCAGGAUAUAUGUUGCAGUCGACACAAUUUCUCCCUAUAAUUCUUUGGGUAGAUGCUUUCCUUUCGACAUACUUCUCACCAUAUUUAUGAUGGUUCUAUUCUUCCUUUCCGUGACUCCAUUCUGUUCUGGAGUGUAGGGCGACACCACCUCAUGCACAAUCCCUUCUUUCACACGUAAUGCGUCGAAGUCUUUCGACAAAUAUUCUCCACCACCAUCAGUCCUCGGAAUCUUGAGCUUUCGACAGCUUUGUCUUUCGACCAUAGAUUUAAACUUGGUAAAUACCUCGAUCACUUCACUUUUCUUCUUGAUCAAGUAAGCCCAUAGUUUUCGAUUGAAAUCAUCUAUGAAUGUGACAAAGUAUUUGUUACCUCCAAUCGAAUCCACCUGGAUAGGACCACAUACGUCAUAAUAUAUAACUUCAAGAAUUGCCUUCGACCUACUUCCUGCGUCCUUACUGAAGAUGUUCUUGUGCUGCUUCAUUUGCACACAUUCUUCACACACUUCGCCUGGAAUAUCGAUUUCUGGUAAUCCUUAAACCAUAGUUCUUCUCUUUAAAUCUAUGAUGUCUUUGAAAUUGAGAUGACCAAGUCUGUAAUGACAUAUCCAUUCAUCUCUGAUGGCUGAUGUUGCAAGGCACUUAUGCUUCAUCACAUUAAGCUCAAUCUUGAAGGUUCUAUUAUGAGAUAUUAGAGCCUUCAAGAUCAAUCUUCCAUUUGAGUAGAGACCUCCCAUCAUCUUGUCUUCGAUCGACACCUUGUAGUUCUUUUAGACUAACUGCCGUAUGCUGAGCAAAUUACUCUUCAUGCCUGGUAUGUACAACACAUUUGAAAUUACUGACCUCUUGCCAUCUUUCCUCAUAAUCAGAGCAUCAAUAACACCUUCAACUACUAGAGUAUUGUCAUUUGAAAAUUUCACCAUGUUCUUCAUUGAGGGCUUUAUGUUGACAAACCAAUCUUUCCUUCCCAGACAUGUGUGAUGAGCAUCCUGAGUCCAAGUACCAUUGGUCCUUGAAUCCCUCUUCAUCUCUCGUUGUAACCAUCAGUGACAUCUCUUCUUCUUCAUGUUUCACUAGCUUUGCAUAAGUUUCUUGAUUCUUUUGCUUUUCUGGACAAUCACUAGAAUAAUGACCAUGCUUCUGACAAUUGUAACACUAAAUGUGAAUCUUGUCUGGCUUUUGACCACCACCUCUUCCUCUACCUGUAACACCACCUCUUUGGUUGCCUUGGUUAUAGGGUUUUCUAUGAUUCGACCAGUUUCCUUCUUGCUGAUUUCGACCAGUCGAAUUGUUGUAGCCUCUUUUGCUAUUGUUAUCAUUCUAGCUUUCUUUGCCUUUCCUUUCUUUUGCUGAUUGCGCCAGCAAAGCCAUAUCACUCUUCGAAUUUCCUGCAGCUCUUUCAGCCAUUCUUUAUUCAUGAGAUUCAAGCAUCCCUUGAAGUUAUUCCUUUGUCAGUUUUGAUAAAUCUUUCGAAUCUUUUAUGACUACUAUCCCGUGGUCAAACUUUGGAGCCAACUGCCUCAAGAUAUUUCCAACAACAAAUCUUGAUGUCAACACUUCUCCAUAUACCUUGGUUUGAUUCACCAGUUUCGUAACCUUGGUGAAGAAAUCAGUUAUGCUUUCAUUGUCUUCCAUCUGAAGCAAUUCACACGUCCUUUUGUCUGUUUGUAACCUCACUUCUUUCACCUUCUCCGCGCCUCUAAAUGACUUCUCCAGAAUUUCUCAUGAUUCUUUCGCUGACUCUACAUCACUAACCUUUUCAAAGUUACCUGAAUCAACACAUUGAUGGAUUAUAAAGAGAGCUUUAUAAUCUUUCUUUUUCAAUUCUUUAUGUGCAACCCUUUCUUGUUCUGUCACGUUUUCUGCAAGCGUUGUUACUUCUUCCUUCACAAGACCCCAAAGAUCUUGAUAAUAGAACACAACAUUUAUCUGCUUGCACCAAUUCUCAUAAUUAUUAUUCUUGAGAAUUAGAAGAUUCACUGGAAAAUACCCGUUUGGAUGAUUCAUUUCCAUCAUGAUUUUCUUCCCAGGAAUCGCUCAAACCAAAGCUCUUGAUACCAGAUGUUAGAAAUCCAUCAUAACCUUUGGAAAAUUUCUAUCAAUCUUGAUGAACAAGAUUGUUAUCAACCACGCAAUGACAAUGAAAAUAAAAGAACAAUUGAGAAAGAAAGAAAAGAACGUUGGAGAAAAAGAAGAAUAUUUUCUGUAGAGUUUUUCUCUGUCCAUAAUUUGUGGAAAACUUCUUUAUUCACUUUACAACUGUAAAAUUCUGUGAAUACAAUGUUAUGACUUCUCUAUUACAAGAAUAAGAGUUACUCCCUCUAUUUAUAGAUUUAGGUUAACUUACUCCCUAAGUCAAAACCCAAAAUUAUAAAAGCCCAAAAUAGUUAACACUACUAAAAAUAGGUCUAAGUCGAAAUCCUGUGUGAAACAACAUGCUUCGACACACUAAUACAACUCAACACACUAGGUGAUUCGACACUUCCUUACUUCCGUCGGACAACCUGCUUCGACAAAAGGAAUUACAAUUCAACAAAUCAUUUAUAAUCAUAAGGGUAAAGCAAAAUGAAUUUGAAUUCGGUUUGAAUGUGAAUAAAGUGAAAUUUGGGUUAUCACAUAAUGCAAUUCGAUUUGAUUUAUAAAAUACACAUCACAAAUCGAAAAUGACGCGCAUGGUUCUACUAAAAAUGACUCAAACACGUCGAAACUAAACUUACUUUUUAUAUAUUCAAUUUUAUUUAGUUCAUUCAUCAAUUUUUUAUUGCACCGAUUCGAUUUUAAAUAGCUUUAUCAAUACCCAAAGUAACACGUUCAUAUAGACUCAACACAGCGUAACCCAUAUUCCUACUAAUUUCAAUUUAAAAUAUAAGAAAAGGAAUAAAAUAAUUAUCAACUUUUUAAAUGGCUUUUAACGGUCACAUGACCGAUUUUUAUCAAAACGUUUUUGAAAGGGUUUUAACGGUCACAUGCAACAAAAAAAAUACCUACAUAAAAAACAUGUCAAAAACUUAAUUUUGCCAGAAGCAAUCACUGUAUUAACGAAUAAAUAAUUGAUUGUUUCUAUUGUAAAUCAUGUUAGAAAACAGGGUGGUUAGGACACGGCCGUCCAGCCAUUAACUUGCAUAAUUAAAUGUUAAUUAUCCAAUCAGAAUAUAUAAAGGCUGGCGUCUAAUCUUAAAUACCUAAAAUUUUAUGUUUAUUCUAUCUUCGCGAACGAGACAAUGACAAUCAUUAAUUUUCUUAUUUCAUCAACAAAAAGAAAGACAAUGAUUAAGUUUACAUGCUUGUUACAAGCCAUUACUAUAAUACAAACUUUCAGAUUAAAAAACACUUUGAAUUAAUUAAUAUUCUUGCAGCUAGAUGAGUACAGAAGCAUAUAAUAAUAAUGUCACCUAACAUACCUUAAUUUAAUUCCCUGAAUAGCGUCAAUGACUUGUCCCGAUAACAUUAAUAAAUGUAUGGUUUGAAAGUUGUACUCCAUUGAAAUUUGAAAUUUGAAAUUUGUUUUGGGGGUUUUAUUCUUACUAAUUUUCUGGCAAAUACAGAGAAAAUAGCGUGGCGUUGCAUGGCCCACUUUACCCUUCAUAUCAUCUCGAUCGGAAAUGCGAUUUUAUAGCUAAUAAAAUAACUAAACUAAAUACAAAAAUAUAAAAAUACAAAAAUAACCAACAAUUUCAAAUUAAAAAAAAAAAUAAGUAUUUUAAAAAUUUUACCAACAGAACAACGAUAAGAGGAGUAGCCACUAUAUGAGGCAUAUGUACUACAUUUUUAAAUAAAGACAUCAUUAUAGUUGGCGCAUGCUUGUAUGUGAUGCCACUUGUGUAUCUAAUGUGUCACAGGCAGUGACUACUGCUUUGUUAGUGUAUUAUAUAAAUACUGCAUUUCCUUCCCAUCAUUUUUCACACUUCUUCUAACUAUCUCCUUCUAUUUUUUUCUUCAAAAUAUCUUCAUAUAUGUGUUCUUAUUUUCAGAAGAGAAAUAUCAAUUUAAUUUAUUCGACAGUAAAGUCUCCGAUGAAGAUCCAACUCUGGAAUAUAGAGACGUUCGAGCAUCUUAAUAUGAGUUUGAUCUGUUGGUUAGAUGGAGACAUUGCAAAGGAUGAAAACAUCAUGAGAAUUCAAAGGCUUGUUACCGUAUUCAACGACAAUGGAGAAAGUCGUUUAUGAGACAAUGUUAAAACUGACAGAGAUGCUCGCAUUAUGAUGCACAGUUCUGAGGAAAUUGUCUUGAUGGUUGUAAUCACAUAGUUAUAUUUUUCAGUCAUUGUAUUUAUUUGUCUUGUUGUUUAAAUUAUUGUUUAGUUCUUGUUUAAAUUGUUGUAACCGAAUGUUAUGAUAUUUAUAAAUUGAACGUUGUUUUCAAUAUAAAGUAAAAUGAUUACAUAUAAAAUUAUGUUGCGGUACUUGGUCCAACAUUGGGACAAUUUAUACGAUGGUGUUCGGGCUGACGACACGAACUAUAAAAUUUCACCAAUUUGUUCGUCGUUUCCAUUUUGGUUUGAAUGUGCAUGCUGUUAGGGCGACCCUUUUUCUUUCUUCGCAUUUUUUCAUUGUGCCAAACUAUGCCCCCCUUGAUAUGCAGGGCAAUAAUCCUCCUUUGCUAUAAAUAGAGAGCUAAUAUUGUAAACAUUGCAUAUGUUUAUGACUUUGUAAAUGGUGAAUAAUAAGUUGGAAGGGUCCUACCAAGCCUUUGAACAUGCCGCUAUGACAUGGUGUAACACCUCAAAAUUUGCCCUCAUCUUCUUGGGACUAGCUUAGCAUAUUGCAUUUCAUUUUUUAGGACAUUAGGUAUUUGCAUGUUGCAUAUCAUGUGAGAACAAGCAAGUCAUCCUCCUAAGUCUUUCUCAAAAGAUAGAGAUGUUAAGAGAUUCAUGCCUGAGGGUCUCAUGGAUUGAUCACUAGCCAUCUGACGGUUUGCGCUUCAAUUAGGGUUUCUUGGUCCUUCAAGGAGUUUGAGCAUUAUCUUAUUGGCAAGGGUACAUCAUCAUCAUCAUGGUUAUGUCAUCCUCAAGGGGCUCAUUGUUCAUGCUCAGAUUCUUUGGGAUUAGGAUUUUGACCUCUGGUCAACCCUAAUCAGUUGCAUUCUACCAGUCAGGGUUUCUCAAGGAGAUGGGGUUUAUUUCUUGGAUGGAGAUCAUAUGAUUAUUAUGUGGAGCUUACAAGAGCUAGGGGUUCAUUUUGGAGCCAAUUCCUCAAGUGGUUGAGGCUCAGGCUGAUCAGGGCACUUCUAGGUCAUCUGUCAACCAGAAAGUCAACAGAAAGUCAACUGAGGGCUAGGAGGUGGAGAAAUGAGUUUCAACAUCUCAUUCAUGUUCAAAAGAGGCUUAUUAUCUUCUAGGUCAUCUGUCAACCAGAAAGUCAACAGAAAGUCAACUGAGGGCUAGGAGGUGGAGAAAUGAGUUUCAACAUCUCAUUCAUGUUCAAAAGAGGCUUAUUAAUCAUGUCAAAUGUAUAUCUUAAAGAAUUUGAGGUCAGAUCAAAAGUUUACAAAAAUGGAAAGUGACCUGUAAUUGGAAGUUUCCAAAAAUGGAAAGUUUUUGGUUCAAAUUCAACUUGAUCAUACAUCAUCAAAGAAGCUUCAAUUGAAUUUUUGUCCAACAUGAAAGUUGAAGAUCCCUCUCUCCCAUUUCCAAAAAGUCAAAGAUCAUGAAUUUAUGAUGAAUGGUUGAGGAGAUAUGAUCCAA
RNAcentral lists this long non-coding RNA (34803 nucleotides) under Lathyrus oleraceus (garden pea). RNAcentral describes it as "Pisum sativum (pea) long non-coding RNA (PSAT_LNC019196)". Lineage: Eukaryota; Viridiplantae; Streptophyta; Magnoliopsida; Fabales; Fabaceae. The record is from RNAcentral.